GACGAACGCUGGCGGCGUGCUUAACACAUGCAAGUCGAACGGAAAGGCCCUGCUUUUGUGGGGUGCUCGAGUGGCGAACGGGUGAGUAACACGUGAGUAACCUGCCCUUGACUUUGGGAUAACUUCAGGAAACUGGGGCUAUACCGGAUAGGAGCUCCUGCUGCAUGGUGGGGGUUGGAAAGUUUCGGCGGUUGGGGAUGGACUCGCGGCUUAUCAGCUUGUUGGUGGGGUAGUGGCUUACCAAGGCUUUGACGGGUAGCCGGCCUGAGAGGGUGAACGGCCACAUUGGGACUGAGAUACGGACCAGAGUCCUACGGGAGGCAGCAGUGGGGAAUAUUGCACAAUGGGCGGAAGCCUGAUGCAGCAACGCCGCGUGCGGGAUGACGGCCUUCGGGUUGUAAACAGCUUUCGCCUGUGACGAAGCGUGAGUGACGGUAAUGGGUAAAGAAGCACCGGCUAACUACGUG
This 467-nucleotide ribosomal RNA is filed under the name uncultured bacterium. RNAcentral describes it as "partial 16S ribosomal RNA". It matches the Rfam family "Bacterial small subunit ribosomal RNA", at positions 28 to 507 of the family's 1533-position model. The record is from RNAcentral.